GGGACAACAUUCCGAAAGGAGUGCUAAUACCGGAUGUGAUCAUCGUGCCGCAUGGCAGGAUGAAGAAAGAUGGCCUCUACAAGUAAGCUAUCGCUAAAGGAUGGGCCUGCGUCUGAUUAGCUAGUUGGUAGUGUAACGGACUACCAAGGCGAUGAUCAGUAGCCGGUCUGAGAGGAUGAACGGCCACAUUGGGACUGAGACACGGCCCAAACUCCUACGGGAGGCAGCAGUGGGGAAUCUUCCGCAAUGGACGAAAGUCUGACGGAGCAACGCCGCGUGAGUGAUGAAGGAUUUCGGUCUGUAAAGCUCUGUUGUUUAUGACGAACGUGCAGUGUGUGAACAAUGCAUUGCAAUGACGGUAGUAAACGAGGAAGCCACGGCUAACUACGUGCCAGCAGCCGCGGUAAUACGUAGGUGGCGAGCGUUGUCCGGAAUUAUUGGGCGUAAAGAGCAUGUAGGCGGCUUAAUAAGUCGAGCGUGAAAAUGCGGGGCUCAACCCCGUAUGGCGCUGGAAACUGUUAGGCUUGAGUGCAGGAGAGGAAAGGGGAAUUCCCAGUGUAGCGGUGAAAUGCGUAGAUAUUGGGAGGAACACCAGUGGCGAAGGCGCCUUUCUGGACUGUGUCUGACGCUGAGAUGCGAAAGCCAGGGUAGCGAACGGGAUUAGAUACCCCGGUAGUCCUGGCCGUAAACGAUGGGUACUAGGUGUAGGAGGUAUCGACCCCUUCUGUGCCGGAG
RNAcentral lists this ribosomal RNA (735 nucleotides) under uncultured bacterium. Its description in RNAcentral is "bacterial SSU rRNA". It matches the Rfam family "Bacterial small subunit ribosomal RNA", at positions 140 to 851 of the family's 1533-position model. The record is from RNAcentral.